Oryctolagus cuniculus (rabbit) is the source of this 10928-nucleotide non-coding RNA. The record is from RefSeq and is a predicted model, not a curated record. NCBI's taxonomy places the organism in Eukaryota, Metazoa, Chordata, Mammalia, Lagomorpha, Leporidae.
CCGGUCCCCGGCGCGCCGGGGCUGCGGGGCGGGGCGGGCUGCGGCCGGUCCCGCCUCCCUGACCCUUGGCCUCCGGCCUGCGGGCGAGGAGAGGUCGGGAGGCGGCCCCGGGAGGGGCCCGCCCGCCUCCGCAGGAAGUGCAGCCGGGCGGCCUGCCCCGGGGAAGACGCCGGAGCCGCCGCCGGCCCCUGGCACCGGCCCGGGUCCCGCGAGCAGGUGCCCGCCGCCGCCCCGCGCGAGACCGGCUGCGGUUCUGGCUCGCUGGGCCUGCAGCCCGCACGGGGAAGGGUCCGGCUGGGGGGCGGGGGUCUUCGGGCUCCUUUGCUGGGGAGGGGGCUUGGCCGACAUCCCGUGCUGGCCGGGCUGCUUGCUGGGUGUCGGGGCGAGGCGGGCAAUACUCCCUCCAUCCAGUGCGGGGGCACCUGCCGCGACCCCCACCCCAGGCCCCCAGGACAGGUAACCACAGAAACGGCCGGCGGCGGCGCCGGGUCCUGGCGUCGCCAGGGAGAAGCUCGGCGCCGCCCCCACCAGAAACGCGGGCUGCGGGGAGGCACUGCAGGGGGCGUCGGCCCUCUCCCCCUCCCUCGCCCUCGCCGCAGCGCCCCGUGCGGGCCCACACCUCGAAGGAGACGGGCUCCUGGCAGCCCCGGGCUGCGGGGGAUGCAGUGGGGCGCCCGCAGCCGCAGCGCCCUGCCUGCCCGCGUGCGUGGCGGAGACCAGUGGGCCGAGGCCGCGUGCGGCUGCUGGUGGCGCAUCCGCGCGGAGGGAGGGUGGGCCAACAGGUGGGAGGCAGCCAGGCGACUGCAAAAGCGGGCAUCAGCCGGUGGGGGUGGGGGGUGCUGUGCCUUGGUCACCUGGAAGCGCCCAGGGCUCACCCAGCUCGCGGCUGGUCCUGAAUGCCAAGGCGGCACACGGGCUGGUGUCUAGGGUGUCCGGAGCUGGCACCAGUUCUUUUGCUUGGCCUUGUGGCCGGCUUGUGGCACAGCCAGUGGUGAGUCCACUGCCUGCCACGCGGGCAUCCCCAGCUGCGAACCGGCUGGAGGCCUGGCUGCUUAGCUUCCGAUCCAGCUUCCCCUGGGAAAGUAGCCGGACAGCCCAAGCACUGGGCGUCUGCCACCCCACCUGGGAACCCUGGAUGGGCUUCCUGGCUCCUGGCUUUGGCCUGGCCCUACGCUGCUUUUUGCAGUCAUUUGAGGAGUGAACCAGCAGAUGGACCCGAGAGAGAUGGGGUCCAGGGGUCAGUCAGAGCCAGGCCUGGAGGUGGCACUCAGUACUCUGCCACGAGUAUUGGUGAGAGUUUGCCGCACAGCCCCGGCUGGAUGCGAGGGGCCUGGGACAAAACUGAGCCAGUUUGGGGAACACACAGCAGGGAUCUGCCCAGACACUGGCGCCAUCCCACAGCGACAGCAGGCUGCAUGAGCGUGGGCGUCACCGCCCGGGCCUGUGCGGUGCCGUUGGCUCACGGGCAGAGGUCAGUUUGUGGAGGAGGUGACCGUGUCCCAGGGUCUUGCAGGAUGAGCAGGGGUCCCCGGUGGCGUAGGAGAAGUGCAUGACACAGGUGGGAGGUGGGAUCGUAGGUGGCGCAGCUCGGGGGAGCUCAGGCAGGUGGAGGGGUGUUCUGGAGCAGCCUGCUCUCCGUCCCAACGUUGCCCACGCUGCCCACGCACCUGCACAGGUUCUCUCCCAGCUCUGCUUGCAAUUCCAGCUUCCUGCUGAUGCGCACCCUGAGAGGCGGCAGGUGAUGGCUCAUCCUUGGGUCCCUGCCACCCACAUGGGAGACCCAGCAGGAGUUCCUGACUCCUGGCUUUGGCCUGGUUCCUGGCUAUUGCAGGCAUUUGAGCAUUGAACCACUCUCACCUUGCCCAACUCCUCAGUCCACGCGCAUGUCUCUUUGCUGAACCUGUAGAGAAACGCAUCACAAACCUCACGAUUCGGGCGUGAGUCUCUCCGGUGACUGGCAGAAGCAAAGUCACAGACCCAGAGGAGCUGCCACCUGCUGGCUCUCUCCCCGGAUGCCCUCAAAGCCAGGACCGAGCCAAGCCAAAGCCAGGAGCUGGGAAUUCAACCCGGGCUCUCAGAUGUCCCGGAACCACCCCCUGGAGUCAUCGCCUGCUACUCCAGGGCCUGCCUGCACUGGAGACGCUGCGUUAGCCAGAGCCAGGAAUGAAACCCAGGCGCUCCCACGUGGGCACGGCUGUCCCCACGGCCUGAGGCGCUCCCACGUGGGCACGGCUGUCCCCACGGCCUGAGGCGCUCCCACGUGGGCACGGCUGUCCCCGCGACCUGAGGCGCUCCCACGUGGGCACGGCUGUCCCCGCGGCCUGAGGCACUCUCACGUGGGCACGCUGUCCCCACGGCCUGAGGCACUCCCACGUGAGUGUGGGUGUCCCCACGGCCUGAGGCACUCCCACGUGGGCACGGCUGUCCCCACGGCCUGAGGCACUCCCACGUGAGUAUGGGUGUCCCCACGGCCUGUGGCACUCCCACGUGGGCGCAGUGUCCCCACGGCCUGAGGCACUCCCACGUGGGCGCAGUGUCCCCACAGCCUGUGUCACUCCCACGUGGGCGUGGGCGUCCCCACAGCCUGGCCAAUGCCACCCUGAGGCUGUGUGGUUUUUCUCAUUUUUAUUGUGUAGAAAUACACAUAACAUAAAAUGUGUCAUCUUAAUCCUUUAAAGUGUACAGCUCAGUGGUAACUAACAAAUUCAUAAGGUAUUUGUGUAUUAUUAUAAUACAACCAUCACCACCAUCUAUCCCAUAACCCUUUUAUCUUGUGAAACUAAAGUUGUUUUGUUUUCCUAAAGAUUUAUUCAUUUGGAAAUCAGAGUCACAGAGAGAGAGAGAGAAAUCUUCCAUCUUCUUGUUCAUUCAUCAGUUGGCCGCAACGGCCAGUGCUGGGCCAGGCUGAAGCCAGGAGCCAGGACCUUCUUCCGGGUCUCCCCUGUGGGUGCAGGGACCCAAGCACUUGGGCCAUCUUCCACUGCUUUUCACGGUCCAUUAGCAGGGAAGUAUACUGGACAUGGAGGAGCUAGGACUCAAACCGGGGCCCGGAUGGGAUGCCGGUGCUGCAUUCACGGUGUUAGAUGUUACGCCACGAAGCCGCCCCCGGGAACCUGAAACCCUACAGCUACUAAAUAAUAAGGCCCCGGGCCAGCGCUGUGGUGCAGCUGUUAAGCCCCAGCCUGCAGUGCCUGUAUCCCAUAUGAGCCCCAGUUCAAGUCCCAGCUGCUCCACUUCUGAUCCAGCUCUUGCUGUGGCCCGGGAGGGCAGUGGAAGAUGCCCAAGUGCAGGGCCCCUGCACCCACGUGGGAGACCUGGAAGAAGCUCCUGGCUCCCGGCUCCGGCCUGGCCCAGCCCCGGCCAUUGCAGCCGUCUGGGGAGUGAGCCAGGGGAUGGAAGACGUCUCUCUCUGACUCUGCUCCUCGCCCUCUAACUCUGUAAGUGGAAUCCCACAGUAUUUGUCCUUUUGUGACUGGCUUGUUGGUUACACUUAGCAUAACCUCCCGAGAGUCCUCCGUGCUGCCGCGAGUCAGAAUCUCCCUCCUUUCUGAGGUCUGGCGAUGCCGCGUUGCGUGUUCCUCGCCGUCUGCUUGUCCACUCCUCUGUGAGGGACACGGGCUGCUUCCCCACCGUAGCUGUUGUGGGAGUGCUGCUGACUCAAGUGUGCACAAACAUUGAGUCUGUGUUUCAUUUCUCUGGGGUGUGCACCAGAGAGGGACUGGCCACUCCUAUGGGAAAGUUGUCUUCGUUUUUUUGAGGAAGCUCACGCUCUGUCCCACCGUGGCUGUAGCAUUUUGCGUCCCCACCAGCUGCGUCCAGCGGCUCCACUUCGUCCAGAUCGUCACCGGCACUGUCACUGCUUGUUUCUGGUGGCCGCUGUCCUAGUGGGCGGGAGAGGGGAUGUCACUGAAAUCCCGAUUACUAAGCCUGUGUCUGUGCACUUAGUGGUUAUUUGUGUAUCGUAUUUGGGAAAUACUCAAGGCCUUUGCCUGCUCUUUAACUGGGUUGGUCGUUUUGUUGUUGAUGUUUUAAAGUUCUCUCCGGAGCCUGCACUGUGGCACAGUAGGUUAAUCCUCCCCCUGCAGUGCGGCAUCCCCUCUGGGCACCGGUUCACGUCCCGGCCGCUCCUCUUCUGAUCCAGCUCUCUGCUGUGGCCUGGGAAAGCAGUGGAGGAUGGCCCAAGGGCUUGGGCCCCUGCACCUGUGUGGGAGACCUGGAAGAAGCUCCUGGCUCCUGGCUUAGGAUCGGCCCAGCCCUGGCCAUUGCAGCCAUUUGGAGAGUGAACCAGAGGAUGGAAGACCUUUCUCUCUGUCUCUCCCUCUCUCUGUCUGUAACUCUACCUCUCAAAUGAGUAAAUAAAAUCUUUUUUUAAAAAAAGUUCUCUCCGCAUCCUGGAUACUAAUCUCAUCAGAUAUAUGAUUUGCAAAUAUUUCCUCCCAUUCUUUGGGUUGCCUUUUUACACGGUUGGUUUUGUCUUUCAGUGUACAAUUUUUGAAAAUUUUUUCAUGAAAUCUAUUUUUCACUUUGCUGCCUGUGCCUUUGACGUCACAUCCUAUGAAUCAUGGCCAAAUCCAGUGCCACGAAGCUUUUGCUUUGUUUUCUUCCAAAAGUGGUCGUUUUAGGCCUUCCACUCAGGUCCUUGUUCAUUGGAGCUUGGUGUUUGUCUAGGGCGUGAGGAAGGGUCCAGCUGCAUUGUUCUGCUUGUAGAUUUCUGGUUUUCCCAGCACCGUUCGUUCAUUGGAAAGACAGUCUUCUGCCGCACAGUGGUCAUGGCACUUCUGCAGGACAGCGUUUGACCAAACACGCCCAGUUUAUCUCUGCACUGUUCCCCACCGUUGUGUCAGCCGCUGUCUGGAUUCCUGUAGCCUUGUGGUAAGGGAACCUGUGCUUCGAGGGAGGAAUGAGAGUCAGCGACAGGCGGGUCUCACAGCUGCACCUGCCCAGGUGUUGCAAAAAGUAGUGUUUUGUUCUUGUAUGUUGCUAGUGGCACUUCCCGGGCCCAAGUGGGUGCCCUGCUGGGGAGGCUGGGGCCCCCAGCCUGUCUCCCCCACGCAUCUCUCUCCCGGUUUUCUUUGUAAUUACAGAGCGGGGAGAUGGGCUGCCAGGAAUAGAGUGGGCGAGGCCUUGGCGGGCGGGAGUGGCCCCUCUGGCUGCCUGCCCUUCCCCUGACACUUCCCCAGGCACUGGUGGGCAGAAGCCGCGGAGGGCUUCCUGCAGCGCUGGCAGGCAGAGCCCCGAGCCGGCUGAAGAGGGGAAGUGAGAGCUGUGCCCCGGAUGCGGCCUCGGAUGGCGGGUGGGUCCCGGCUGGGCACCGGGGUCCGGGACCACCUUGUUUGGCUGCGUGGGGGGCUGCUCCCGAUGUACGUGCUGUGGCCCGUGGAGGGAGCAGGGAGUCCGGUUCUAAGGGGUCCCCUUCCCGGCUCUAUCGCUGCGAGCUCCAGGGGCCCGAGAGAAGUCGAAGUGUCCCUGUUGCCUUGCUAGGGGCUCACUGGUACCCCCUCCCCGUGCCAGACUCAGACGUUGAAACCUUAACUCCCAAGGGGACUGAUUGGAGCCUGGUUAGGCUGUACUUGCGGCUGAAUGAGUCACAAGCCCUGAUCCAAAGGCCCGGAGAUCCACACAGAGGAGAGGCAGCUCUCGCUCCCCGCGUGAGCAAAGGCACAGAGCAGAGGGUGGCCGACGACCAAGCAGGACGCGGGCCCUUAGCGGAGUCAGCGCCAGCUGCCCCCACGCCCACCACGAUGGCAUUUGCUCCCGCAGCCCCCAGCACAAGACAUAGGCCGUGCUCGCUGUGUUACUUCUUCCAUCCCCUGCUACCGCUCUCUAACCCCCGGGACCCUGCCCUUCGUGGACAGAAGGGUGCAGGAGGUUCUGGGCUUUGUGCAAGAAAGAAUUCAGGGCCGGCGCCGCAGCUCACUAGGCUAAUCCUCCACCUUGCGGCGCCGGCACACCGGGUUCUAGUCCCAGUCAGGGUGCCAGAUUCUGUCCCGGUUGCUCCUCUUCCAGGCCAGCUCUCUACUGUGGCCCGGGAGUGCAGUGGAGGAUGGCCCAAGUGCUUGGGCCCUGCACCCCAUGGGAGACCAGGAGAAGCACCUGGUUCCUGCUUUCGGAUCAGUGCGGGGCGCCGGCCACGGCGGCCAUUGGAGGGCGAACCAACGGCAAAGGAAGAGCUUUCUCUCUGUCUCUCUCUCUCACUGUCCACUCUGCCUGUAAAAAAAAAAAAAAAAAAAAAAAUUCGGACUUGCAACAGAGAGUAGCCAUGGUGAAGCCAGCCAUGCGUGGUGAGCCAUCCGCACAAAAAUUCCCACUUUUCUUCCGAAAGGAUCCCCGUUUUCUCCGGCCCCUCAUGCAGGCAUAGGCUAAGGUCUGCUGGCUACCGAACAGCCCUGGGGCUUUGAGGGCCUGGCUGUGGGCCCUGAGAAGUUCCUUGCCCCCAUGCCCCACUUCUAGAACCCCUCUGGCCAGCCUGGGUUGGGGGGGACAGCGCGUGGCUGAGAGAGGGACAGGUUCACUCGGCGUGGGCUCCUCUCUCCGCCAUCACCAACAGCGCACGUGAGUACUGAGGGAACGGGCCCAGCCCCUUCUCUAAGGUGGACAACUGGACCUGCCUCGUGGGGAGGUGGAGAGGCUUGAGUGAGCUAACACCGGAUGCUUCCAGAAAGAGAAGCUGCCCCUCCCCCUUCGCUCCUCCCCCCCCCCCCACUUUAUCAGUCCAGAACGUUAUCUUUAGUAACCGCAAUGGAGCCCUAAGCCAGGGUUCCGUGUCCUAAUUCAUGACGUGUGGACGUUAGGGUGGCAGGUGCUCCCGGGGAGCGCUGGCUCGGCCGUUCUUGUCAUCGUUCGAGAAGGAUCUCAGACGUGAGACGGGGAGGCUCGCUCCUGUCUCCAUAGCUACCCUAACAUCACCUCCAGCAUCCUGUGUUUCAGCCGUGCCGGGGGAACGGCACCUUACCCCACGGAGCACGGGUCGGCCUGGGUGCUCCGCCCUUGGGUUCAGAGGAGCAGAUCAGAGACGCGGUGGGGCAGACGUGGCUUCGUAAUCCGGGACACGUGCACUCCAGUGACCGCCGUGUUGAUCUUGUAGCUGCGGCCCUGCAGAGAGACCCCCGAGUUGGGAUUUACCCGUGUGGUCUUGCUGAUUGCACAGCUGGGUAGAGGGGCCCCAGGGCUGACCGCUGGUUGCCCAGUGUGGGAGGUGGCUCUGCACGUCGCCCUGACAUUUCCGUGUCUGGUCCGGCUGCAGGACUUCUCAUGCAAAAGCAGCUGGGACCGGACACCACUGCUUUCGUGUCCCGCUCCGCCCCGGGGGCUUCUCGCCUGCCCAGGGCUGGAGAGCUGCGUCUCUCUCCCGAGACACACUCGCACCUCUGCCGUGAUGUGGGGUGGACGUGAAAACCCUGCGGCCUCGCAGGUCUCUCGUCUUGCAGCUCAACACUGACCGAACCCCAACAGAUGGACAACACAGUGCUCGAGAGUAGUUGUACAUUUCCUGGUAGGCCCGGUUUUAAACAUGAAAAGACACAAGGGACAUUAAUUUUAAUCAUGCAUUUGGUUUCUGUAUGUACUAUGAUUCAUCAUUCAAUGUCUAAUCAAUGUAGAAAUUAUGGAAGGAUUUUUUAAAUGAUGAUGCUGGGACAGAAACAUCCGUGGCUUAUUUAUUUAUUUAUUUAUUUAUUUUGUUGUACCUGCGUGAGUGCACACAGCGGAGCGCCACACACUGAGCCAAGGUGCCCGUCCUUUGUUGCCGGCGGCCGAGAGUGGGCUCAUGCCCUCGAGAGCUCUCGACCCCGAAGCCCAAAGCAACAGGGGAUUUAAAGGCAAAACCCACAAACUCAGGAGGGGAACACGUGGUUACCGGGGUCAAGCUGACCUAAAACCUAUGCGAAAUUAAUAUCAAUUAUAAUCUUGACGAUACCAGUUACAAUCUCAAUAUUAAUUAGAAUCUUGACAUUAAUCCACAUAUUGGUUUUAAUCCUGUGUAGGACGUAGACAAAUUGCAUUUUAUCAUUAACCCAGGGCAGCCUAUCGGCUUCCAGGCUUGAGCAGUCACGCUAGGGGGUUCUCUGCUCUGCCGAGUGUGAUGCAGUUUGCUGCUGCUGUCCGAGAGUCUCAGACCAGAGUCUCAUGGGGGGGGGGGUGCGUUUUCAAGAUGGAGUCUCAGGUGCUCCAAAAUGGAGAGAGAAAUUGAGAGAGGAAAGAGAGGGCUCUCAUCUACGGUUCACUCCCCAAAUGCCCACAUUGGUUGGGGUUGGGCCUGAACUGAGGCCGGAACCAGGAGCCCAGUCCAGGUCUCCCAUGUGGGUAGCACAAGCCCAAGGACUUGAGCCAUAACUGCUGCCUCCCAGGGUCUGCGCUGGAAGGAAGCUGGAGUCAGGAGCCGGAGCUGGGAAUUGAAUCCAGCCCCUUUCGUGUGGGCUGUGGUACCCCAACCGCGAGCCAAGCACACCCGCCGUGAGUGAGGUGUUUGUGUUCUUGUCUUCCACUUCAGCUCCUUGGAAUUCAGUUCUAACUCACAACGAUCUCUGGGCUGAGCUGCAGCUCAGGCAUACGGGCCAGUGGGCCGCAAGCUUCGGGGACCCCAGAGUCCCUGGAAUGACGUUAGAUACUGACGCUGGACCCACGCCGAGAUUCCGACUCGGUGGGUCUGGAGCGUAGCCCGGGAGCUUGCACCUCUGGCAGAGUUCUGUGCGACGCUGACGCGGCUGGUGCAGGGACCGGGCGAGAGUCCUCUGGAGCGAAAGAACCCAGCUAAGAUGUGGGGAAGGGUUGGGGCACUUCACCAAGGAGGACAGACAAGGGGCUGUGGACAGUGCAAACUACAAGAAAAAAAUUACGCAUGAAUUUCACAAUUUUCUUGCACCGAAGUAAGCUAAUCUCUUAAUUCCACUUUCUGUGAGCAUUUCGAAGCACUCCCGUUUAAAUGACCAACAAGCGCUUGGAAAGAAGUUCAGCGCCAUUAGUCGUUGGGAAAUGCAAGCUGCAACCUCAGGCGGGUACCGCUUCCCAUCACCAGGAUGGCAGGAAUCAAAGCGAAGAGCAGGCACAGCUGUCGGCGAAGGUGUGGAGAAACCGGAGCCCACGUACAUCGCUGCUGGGAGUAUAAAGCGGUGCUUUGGCUGUGGAAUACGGUAGAGCAGUUCUUCAGAUUUUUUUAUUUGAAAGGCAGAGUUACAGAGAGAGGGGGAGAAACAGAGUGAGAGAUCUUCCAUAUGCUGGUUCACUCCCCAGAUGGCCACAACAGGGCUGGGCUGGUCUGAAGCCAGGAGCCAGGAGCUUCAUCAGGGUCUCCCACGUGGGUGCAGGGGCCCAAGCACCCGGGCCAUCGUCUGCUGCUUUCCCAGGUGCAUUAGCAGGAAUUAGGUGGGUCAGAAGUGGAGCAGCUGGGACUUGAACCGGUGCCGGUACGAGAUGCCGGUGCCGCAGAUGGUGGCUUUACUUGCUACACCACGGCACCAGCCCCAGGUCUUCAGAAUUUAAAUGUAGAGGUUACCAUGUGACCCACUCCUAGGUGGAGACACAAGAAAACUGGAAUAGGUUUUCGUACAAAAAUUUACACACGCAGACUGGUAACAGCCAUGUUCAUCAGGCCUCCAAGGUGGGACCAGCGCCCAAGUCCACCAGCUGACGAGCGGAUAAACCAGACGUGGCCCAUGCAGCCAGCAGGCCCGGGUCAGCCACAGAGGAAGUGAACCGCCGAUGCGUGCUGCCGCGUGUUGAACCGCAAAGAUGCCACGCCACGUGACAGGAGCCACGCACAAAAGGCCACGGAUGGCGUGACGUCACCCAUCUGCCGCAUCCCGCAUCGGCAACGGCACAGCGACUGAGUCAGUCUGUGGCUGCCAGGGGCUGGCAGUGCAGGAGAGGAGUGUGGCUGCUGGUGGGUGCGGUGAUGGGCUGGGAAUCAGAUGGUGGCGACAGGUGCGCGGCUCUCUGUGCAGAAUGAAACCUGAACCGCACACCUGAAAUAGAUAAAUGCUGAGACUGGAGAGCCAGGCUCCCGCCGCGGACCACGCUGCCCAGAUGCCAGGUGGGAGGCAGCUCCUACGCCGACUGCUACGUCGGGUGCUCCCUCCACCCCGCCUCUGGCUCGUGGAGCUGCGCUUGCCGAACUACUGCAAGCACACAGUGUUUUUAAAAAUUUAUUUAUUUUGGCCGGCGCUGCGGCUCACUAGGCUAAUCCUCUGCCUGCGGUGCCGGCAUCCUGGGUUCUAGUCCCAGUCGGGGUGCUGGAUUCUGUCCCGGUUGCCCCUCUUCCAGGCCAGCUCUCUGCUGUGGCCCGGGAGUGCAGUGGAGGAUGGCCCAAGUGCUUGGGCCCUGCACCCCAUGGGAGACCAGGAGAAGCACCUGGCUCCUGCCUUCGGAUCAGCGUGGUGCGCCGGCCACAGCGGCCAUUGGAGGGUGAACCAACGGCAAAGGAAGACCUUUCUCUCUGUCUCUCUCUCUCUCUCACUGUCCACUCUGCCUGUCAAAAAAAAUAAAAAUUAAAAAAUGUAUUUAUUUUUAUUUGAAAGGCAGAGUUACUGAGAGAGGAGAGACACAGAGAGAGAGAGAGAGGUCUUCCAUCCGCUGCUUUACUCCCCAGAGGGCUGCAACAGCCAAGGCAGGGCCAGGAGCCAGGAGCUUCAGCCAGGUCUCCCACGUGGGGGCAGGGCCCAAGCACCUGGGCCAUCCUCCACUGCCUUCCCAGGAGCCUUAGCAGGGAGCUGGGUCAGAAGGGGAGCGGCUGGGACUUGACCCAGCACCAUAUGGGGUGCCGGCGUCACAGCUUAACCCACAGCGCCACACACAGGCCCCGGCAGGCCAAGUCCUUUUGUAAAGUGAAUGGGGAAUCUCACAAAAGAAAAAGAGCCAAGUGGCCAACACGCCUGUGAAAGAUGCUCAGCCCCUUCUGGGGCCGAGAACGGGAGACCCCAUUUCCCACGCGAGCA